AUAAUGAUACGCCUGCAUAGCCACAGCUCGUGCGCAGAAAGCGCCGCACGCAAUGGAUGCAGCCCGGGCGGAGCCGGGGAGGUGAGAUUCCUGUGC
RNAcentral lists this non-coding RNA (96 nucleotides) under unclassified sequences. RNAcentral describes it as "pemK RNA". It matches the Rfam family "pemK RNA". The record is from RNAcentral.